This 102-nucleotide small nuclear RNA is filed under the name Macaca fascicularis (crab-eating macaque). The record is from RNAcentral. Lineage: Eukaryota; Metazoa; Chordata; Mammalia; Primates; Cercopithecidae.
GCUCGCCUCAGCAGCAUAUACUAAAAUUGGAACAAUACAGAGAGGAUGAGCAUGGCCCCUACACAAGGAUAACAUGCGAAUUCGAAAGUAUUCCAUAUUUUG